UACGUAGGGUGCUAGCGUUGUCCGGAAUCAUUGGGCGUAAAGCGCGUGUAGGCGGUCCGGUAAGUCCGCUGUGAAAGUCGGGGGCUCAACCCUCGGAUGCCGGUGGAUACUGUCGGGCUUGAGUACGGAAGAGGCGAGUGGAAUUCCUGGUGUAGCGGUGAAAUGCGCAGAUAUCGGGAGGAACACCAGUAGCGAAGGCGGCUCGCUGGGCCAUUCCUGACGCUGAGACGCGAAAGCUAGGGGAGCGAACAGG
Molecule: ribosomal RNA, 253 nt
Filed under: uncultured bacterium
Lineage: Bacteria
Description: partial 16S ribosomal RNA
Rfam family: Bacterial small subunit ribosomal RNA
Source: RNAcentral